GAUGAAGAACGUAGCGAAAUGCGAUACGUAAUGUGAAUUGCAGAAUUCAGUGAAUCAUCGAGUCUUUGAACGCACAUUGCGCCCCCUGGUAUUCCGGGGGGCAUGCCUGUCCGAGCGUCAUUGCUGCCCUCAAGCACGGCUUGUGUGUUGGGCCUCCGUCCUCCUCCCGGGGGACGGGCCCGAAAGGCAGCGACGGCACCGCGUCCGGUCCUCGAGCGUAUGGGGCUUCGUCACCCGCUCUUGUAGGCCCGGCCGGCGCUUGCCGACACAUCAAUCUUUUUUCCAGGUUGACCUCGGAUCAGGUAGGGAUACCCGCUGAACUUAAGCAUAUCAAUAAGCGGAGGA
This 345-nucleotide unclassified non-coding RNA is filed under the name soil metagenome. RNAcentral's name for it is "partial contains 5.8S ribosomal RNA, internal transcribed spacer 2, and large subunit ribosomal RNA". The stretch from base 1 to 120 matches the Rfam family "5.8S ribosomal RNA", at positions 35 to 154 of the family's 154-position model. The record is from RNAcentral.